Molecule: ribosomal RNA, 459 nt
Filed under: uncultured bacterium
Lineage: Bacteria
Description: partial 16S ribosomal RNA
Rfam family: Bacterial small subunit ribosomal RNA
Source: RNAcentral
CCUACGGGAGGCUGCAGUGAGGAAUAUUGGUCAAUGGGCGAGAGCCUGAACCAGCCAAGUCGCGUGAAGGAUGAAGGAUCUAUGGUUUGUAAACUUCUUUUAUAUGGGAAUAAAGUGAGGAACGUGUUCCUUUUUGUAUGUACCAUAUGAAUAAGCAUCGGCUACUCCGUGCCAGCAGCCGCGGUAAUACGGAGGAUGCGAGCGUUAUCCGGAUUUAUUGGGUUUAAAGGGUGCGUAGGUGGUUAAUUAAGUCAGCGGUGAAAGUUUGUGGCUCAACCAUAAAAUUGCCGUUGAAACUGGUUGAAUUGAGUAUAUUUGAGGUAGGCGGAAUGCGUGGUGUAGCGGUGAAAUGCAUAGAUAUCACGCAGAACUCCGAUUGCGAAGGCAGCUGACUAAACUAUAACUGACACUGAAGCACGAAAGCGUGGGGAUCAAACAGGAUUAGAUACCCUAGUAGUC